GGAAUAAAAGUCGUAACAAGGUUUCCGUAGGUGAACCUGCGGAAGGAUCAUUAUUGUAUAAUCGAGGUGCGAGGGCUGUCGCUGACCCGAAAGGUCGUGCACGCCCGAGUGCCCUCACACACAUCCAUCUCACCCCUAUGUGCACCACCGCGUGGGUCCCCCUUUGGCUUGUUCGGAGGGGGGCUUACGUUUUCACACAAACUUUGUAUGCAGUGUAGAAUGUAUUUUUUGUUUUUGCGAUCACGCAAUCAAUACAACUUUCAACAACGGAUCUCUUGGCUCUC
RNAcentral lists this unclassified non-coding RNA (284 nucleotides) under plant metagenome. RNAcentral's name for it is "partial contains small subunit ribosomal RNA, internal transcribed spacer 1, and 5.8S ribosomal RNA". The stretch from base 1 to 53 matches the Rfam family "Eukaryotic small subunit ribosomal RNA", at positions 1779 to 1831 of the family's 1831-position model. The record is from RNAcentral.